GAUAUCAAUGAGCCCCAUAAUGGGAGAUGUUAACCUUAUUGUUUAACGUGCUGCCUGCCAGAUUUAUUUAUUGUAUUCCUAAAUGGCUGACCAGAUCUGCUUCUCUGGAAUCAUAAAUACACUUUUAGAUAAAUGCCUAUUUUUAACAAAAAAACAUCUAUUGAAUGCUAAUGAUGUGCCAGGCCCUAUCUUAGUUCUUUAUCUCAUGGAUUUCUUACAGUAACUCUGUGAGUUAUAUACCACUAUUAUUCCUUUUUUUAACAGAAUGGGAAACCUAGGCAGUAAGGAAUUAGUCCAGUGAUACCCAAUAUUUUAAAUUGUAUGUUUUUGCUGUAAUAAACUGCAACAUGAGUGUAACAACUUGCCUAGGUUCUUUGAGUCUUCUAGUGAGUCAUCAAAUCUGAGAGUGACCCUGGGGACAACCAAUAAAAAGACAGUGACAUAGAGAGAAAUUGUCAUGAGCCUCCAACCAUUCUCUGAGAAGGCAGCAUCAAGGCUGAGGCUAGGUGAUAAGAAUCUAUCUGUGUGGAAAGCUUGGGAGGUUCUUUCCAGGCUGAGGGAUCAGCAUAUUCAAAGGCCCUAAGGUGAGAAUGAACUUGGCAGAUGAAAGGAGCUGGAGCAUAAGCACCUCGGGGAUGGCUGGCUAGAGGGGAGGUCAGGGGCUGCGCAAGGGCAAGACUCUGAGGAUUUGUGGGGCGUGGAGGCAUCAGCAUUUACCCACGUUCAGUGGGAAGCUGUAGAGAAGUUUUAAGCAAGAACUUGGCCUAAUCUGAAAUCAUUAUUUUAACAUUUUAAAAUAAUCCCUGUUGACUAAUGGCAAUGACAUUAAAUACCAGAUUUGGAAGGGAGAAAUUGUUCAAAGUUACCCAUGAGGUUAAGAGAAGCAGCAGAGCCAAGACUCAGACCUCUGGUCUCUUGGCUUAUAGGGUCUCUGCAACUGCCAAUCACCACCCAAGUCCUCAGUGCUGUGUUGGCUGCAAAAGAAUGAGACUGAACAUAUCCCGGGCUGUUGACUCACACAUCUGUUCUAAUAUUUCUCAUGUCUUAUGCUCAUGAAAACACCAGUGUCUGUGACAAAGAUAUCAUUCCCAAAGAUGCCAGUACUGAAGGUGCCGAAAGGGUUCUGCAAAAAUGGAGAAAAUGAUCUAUUUUCAAUUCCAUGCCACAUUUGUUCUCCUAGGUCCCAAAGGGAAAUUGCUUGAGCCUGUAGUCUUACAGAGUCCCCAUUACAAUAACUCCCUUGUGAUCUCCCCUAACCCUCUGCUACCCAGUCUCUCUUUCCCAUCCCUCCUGCAUCAGCCCACAAAUAAAUACCCUUUUGCCAAAAAAUAACAACGAACCAAAAGUCAUUCAUUUCAAAUCGGUCUGUCUUAAAGGGAGAAGCUUUCAACUAUUCCUGCAGUAGAUGGGGGUGCACGCAUGAAUCCAUGAGUCUUCUAUCUGUGGCCAGAAAUAAGAUUUGGAGAUUAAA
Molecule: long non-coding RNA, 1471 nt
Filed under: Pan troglodytes (chimpanzee)
Lineage: Eukaryota; Metazoa; Chordata; Mammalia; Primates; Hominidae
Description: long non-coding RNA NONPTRT001893
Source: RNAcentral